AAGUGAUGGCCUUGAGAUUUGAAUGCAGGUCUUCAAACAGCCAGGCUCUCCCUUCUACAUUGUGACUGCUUUGGAUGUGUUUUGCAAAAUAAAACUACCAACCUACACAAUUGGAACAUGCAUGUGAGUGGUUUUUCUAAGGGUGAUAAUGGAUUUGCCCUGAUUCAUCUGUAUUUUGGGGGGGGGGCACAAAAAAGAAUGUGACAAGCAAUAUAAACAAUAGUAAGUUAGUAUUGUGCUUUACAGUUUUAUGCAAUAUGUAGCCUCCUUAAAAUAUUAUUACAAAGUACUGUUGGAGGUAAAAGAGAAGAUAAUCCUUUGCCAGAUGUAGGGGUGGUAAUUGCACAGGAUAUUGGGCUCACAGUGGCAUAGAAGGAAAAGCAGACUUUGAUGUCAGACCCACUGUGGUUUGUUUUCUGCCUCUGUAACUUACUCACUGUGUUUACCUCGGACAUUCAAGCCUUGGGGCUCUUGUGUGUACAGUGUGUUCUAUAAUACCCAUUUCACAGAGUUCCUGUGAGGAUGAGAUAAUGUAUGUAGAAUGCCUGGCUUGGUGACUGGCACAAACAGAACACACAUUCAACAAAUAGUAGUUGCUAUGGUUACUGCAGUAGUUGUUGAGGAAAGAAUGGAAUUCUGAUAUAAUAGCUGUGGAAAAGCAGUCUGUGUGGAGGGAGCAGGAGGGACAAGGCAUGGAGGCCAGAGAACAAUGGAAUGCUGUGCUUUAGGAACCUAAUCAAGCACUGGAUACUGGAAGUGUUGGUUCUAGGAGAAACCACUGAAAAUGAUUUAGGAAUGGACUAUCCAAGCUAGAAGUGGGGAGGGCCUGAAGCAGGAGAAGAGCAGGGACAAUGGUGAGGAAGACAAGGCCCAGGACACGUCCCUGGGUGGAGAUCUCUGUCUGCACCACAGGUUGGCAGAGCCCUCUCGCUGUGCCCUCUUCUGAGCAGGAUUAGCAGCUGAUCAACCCAGGGUCUGUGGUCUCUAGCAAGGCACCCACACAUAAGCCAGCCUCAUAAGCACAGUGACCUAGCCAGGGGGGUUCCUAAACCUGGCUGUCCAUUCUUUGGUGCCUACUAAAACAGGGAUUCCUGAGUCUUCCCUCAGACAGGGGUUUAGAAGGUCUGGGCUGGGCUGCUUGUGAAAUAGCGUGUGCCUGGACUGGCAUUUAGGAACAGCUUGACAAGGCCACCCCGUCACACUGGAUGCAGCCCACGACGUGAAGAGGAAGGGAUUGUCCCUGGCUAUUCUAUAACCUUGAUUCUUGCACAUGGGCUCAUGGAAUGAUCUGGAACUAGCCAAAAGUGAAAACAAAGUGCAAAGAAAGAAGAAGUUCGAAACAAAACAUAGAGGCCUUUCCUGAGGGAUUUAUCCAGAUGUGAAGACUUCAGGUUGGAAGUUGUGUGGGUAAGAACUCAAUGACCUGCUCCCAAGGUGACCAAGUGAACAUUAGCUUUCAUUCGACAGACAUCACCGGUUGAAAGUGGACAAGCUCUCUCUACCCAUCUACUAGUGAAUCCAUUCAUUUAUCAAAUGUUUACUGAACAGCGGCACACAGAGCCUGUGACACAUCCCUGUAAGUAUUCUCAGCAUUGGCAGGUCUGCUCCACCCAUCCUGGUCCUGGGAUUCUCAAGCUGGAGGAGAUCUUAGAGAUCAUUUAAUGCAAUCAUUUGCCUGAAACAGAUACAUCUGAGAUAUUAGGUAACGUGACUAUGGUCACAAAGCCAGGAAGAGGGACUUGAUUUCAUAAAUAACCUUAAGACAUUUGCAGUUAAGUCUCGAGGGAAGAUGCGUGAAUCAGCUGGGAAAUAUGGGUUGGUUCAAAUGGCAGUGAAGAUGGUCCAAAAUAAGAGCCCCCAAAGUGCUAAGAUGCCUUCAUGGCACUGCUGUGUGAGCUGCCUCCCACGGUGACGGCUUCGAAUCCCAGUAUUCAAACCUGCUUCACCCUCUCCCUAACAGCACCCAUGCAGUUAACCCCUGGCAAGAUCUCAGAUUUUUCAUUAAAAACUCCUUUCCUAUGAGGUGGAAGGUCUGGAGACUUGAAGCAAUCUGACCCAACACAACUCUAGAUGUAUUGCUUCCCAGUCUCUGCCAGACUGUCUGCGCACCCCUCGUAACUAACUGGAUGCUUGGGAGACUUUCUCAGCCCAGGUCCCUCCUCUGAAUUACAGAACACCAAAAAUGA
This is a non-coding RNA of Microcebus murinus (gray mouse lemur), 2186 nucleotides long. NCBI's taxonomy places the organism in Eukaryota, Metazoa, Chordata, Mammalia, Primates, Cheirogaleidae. The record is from RefSeq and is a predicted model, not a curated record.